CGAGGCCAAGAGGAGGCGCUGUGAUGACAAGGAGCCCCUCCCACCCCACUCCUAUGACAGUGAUGGAGACAAGAGUGAAGAUAACCUGGUGGUGGAUGUCUCCAAUGAGGAGCCUAACUCCCCUGCUGGCAGCCCCCCUCACUCCCCUCAUGGGAACGGGUUAGACCGAGCUCCGACCUUAAGGAAAGAGCUUCCAGGUUCCCCAGGCCCUGGAGAGGCCCCCUCCUCCCCAAACCCCCGCAGCCCCACCCCUGGGAAGGCCAAGGACUCUGCACAGGUAAGAUCGAGCACCUUAGCAGAAAACCCGCAUGGAAAG
This 316-nucleotide long non-coding RNA is filed under the name Myripristis murdjan (pinecone soldierfish). Its description in RNAcentral is "lncRNA (ENSMMDG00005012275.1)". The record is from RNAcentral. Lineage: Eukaryota; Metazoa; Chordata; Actinopteri; Holocentriformes; Holocentridae.